This 251-nucleotide ribosomal RNA is filed under the name uncultured bacterium. RNAcentral describes it as "partial 16S ribosomal RNA". It matches the Rfam family "Bacterial small subunit ribosomal RNA", at positions 525 to 775 of the family's 1533-position model. The record is from RNAcentral.
ACGGAAGGUCCGGGCGUUAUCCGGAUUUAUUGGGUUUAAAGGGAGCGUAGGCCGGAGAUUAAGCGUGUUGUGAAAUGUAUAUGCUCAACAUCUGCACUGCAGCGCGAACUGGUUUCCUUGAGUACGCACAAAGUGGGCGGAAUUCGUGGUGUAGCGGUGAAAUGCUUAGAUAUCACGAAGAACUCCGAUUGCGAAGGCAGCUCACUGGAGCGCAACUGACGCUGAAGCUCGAAAGUGCGGGUAUCGAACAG